UUUAUAUGAGAGUUUGAUCCUGGCUCAGGAUGAACGCCGGCGGUGUGCCUAAUACAUGCAAGUCGUACGCACUGGCCCAACUGAUUGAUGGUGCUUGCACCUGAUUGACGAUGGAUCCCAGUGAGUGGCGGACGGGUGAGUAACACGUAGGUAACCUGCCCCGGAGCGGGGGAUAACAUUUGGAAACAGAUGCUAAUACCGCAUAACAACAAAAGCCACAUGGCUUUUGUUUGAAAGAUGGCUU
This 244-nucleotide ribosomal RNA is filed under the name Limosilactobacillus reuteri. RNAcentral describes it as "partial 16S ribosomal RNA". It matches the Rfam family "Bacterial small subunit ribosomal RNA", at positions 1 to 214 of the family's 1533-position model. The record is from RNAcentral. Lineage: Bacteria; Bacillati; Bacillota; Bacilli; Lactobacillales; Lactobacillaceae.